Schizophyllum commune H4-8 is the source of this 82-nucleotide non-coding RNA. The record is from Rfam. Lineage: Eukaryota; Fungi; Basidiomycota; Agaricomycetes; Agaricales; Schizophyllaceae.
GCCCGCAUAACUUAGUGGUAGAGUGUUGUACUUAUGUGGAUACAUUAUGCAAAAGUCGCCAGUUCGAUCCUGGCUGUGGGCA